Molecule: unclassified non-coding RNA, 295 nt
Filed under: uncultured fungus
Lineage: Eukaryota; Fungi
Description: sequence contains ITS2
Source: RNAcentral
AACGCACAUUGCACCCUCUGGUCACUCCGGAGGGUAUGCCUGUUUGAGUGUCAUUUUCAACUAUCAAUGUUGCUUAUUUUUGUAAAUGAGUAUAACAUUGGACUUUGAAGGCUUUGCUGAAGUGUUUAAACUCAGCUCCUUUGAAAUUUAUUAGUGGCUUCAAUGUCUAACCACCAUCAGUAUAAUUUUUGAAGGUGGAAUGUCAAAUUUGUUAGCUGCUUCCUAAUAGUCUUGUCAAAGACAAACUACAAAGGAUUUUGACCUCAAAUCAGGUAAGACUACCCGCUGAACUUAA